UGCGUAGGUGGCCUGGAAAGUUUGAUGUGAAAGCUCGGAGCUUAACUCCGAAAUGGCAUUGAAUACUACUGGGCUUGAGGGUCGGAGGGGAGACUGGAAUUCUCGGUGUAGCAGUGAAAUGCGUAGAUAUCGAGAGGAACACCAGUGGCGAAGGCGAGUCUCUGGACGACCCCUGACACUGAGGCACGAAAGCUGGGAGCAAACA
RNAcentral lists this ribosomal RNA (205 nucleotides) under uncultured bacterium. RNAcentral describes it as "partial 16S ribosomal RNA". It matches the Rfam family "Bacterial small subunit ribosomal RNA", at positions 568 to 774 of the family's 1533-position model. The record is from RNAcentral.